This 253-nucleotide ribosomal RNA is filed under the name uncultured bacterium. RNAcentral describes it as "partial 16S ribosomal RNA". It matches the Rfam family "Bacterial small subunit ribosomal RNA", at positions 524 to 776 of the family's 1533-position model. The record is from RNAcentral.
UACGUAGGUGGCAAGCGUUAUCCGGAUUUACUGGGUGUAAAGGGCGUGUAGGCGGGAAAGCAAGUCAGAUGUGAAAACCACGGGCUCAACCUGUGGCCUGCAUUUGAAACUGUUUUUUUUGAGUACUGGAGAGGCAGACGGAAUUCCUCGUGUAGCGGUGAAAUGCGUAGAUAUGAGGAGGAACACCAGUGGCGAAGGCGGUCUGCUGGACAGCAACUGACGCUGAGGCGCGAAAGCGUGGGGAGCAAACAGG